Molecule: ribosomal RNA, 231 nt
Filed under: uncultured bacterium
Lineage: Bacteria
Description: partial 16S ribosomal RNA
Rfam family: Bacterial small subunit ribosomal RNA
Source: RNAcentral
CGACGGGUGAGUAACACUUAGGAAUCUGCCCAGUAGUGGGGGACAACUCGGGGAAACUCGAGCUAAUACCGCAUACGCACUACGGUGGAAAGUGGGGGAUCUUCGGACCUCACGCUAUUGGAUGAGCCUAAGUCGGAUUAGCUUGUUGGUGAGGUAAAGGCUCACCAAGGCGACGAUCCGUAGCUGGUCUGAGAGGACGAUCAGCCACACUGGGACUGAGACACGGCCCAG